This 1797-nucleotide long non-coding RNA is filed under the name Anser cygnoides (Swan goose). RNAcentral describes it as "lncRNA (ENSACDG00005002308.1)". The record is from RNAcentral. Lineage: Eukaryota; Metazoa; Chordata; Aves; Anseriformes; Anatidae.
GGUCUCAGGCAGCUCCGUGCCCGGCAAGCAUGCGAAGCCCCAGCGCCCGAGCGCGUGCACGCGGGUGUCUGGGUUUGUCACAGCCUGGUGAGCAAGUUAAUCUCAGGCUCCCUGACACGUGGAAUAAAAUCGCGAUCCCGGAAAAAAAAAAAAAAAAAAAAAAGAAGAAAAGAGGAAAAAAAAAAAAAAGGCAGAGAGCAAAACGGACUCGCGCUCACCCCUUCCCACCCACGCGGCGCUGCGUGCUUCGCUGCGCCGGCACCGCGCGGGCGCGCGCCAGCCCUCGCCCGGGUCACCCAGCCCGCGGGGACGGACCCCGAAACCGGGCGGUGGAACUGGGUGAAGCUGGGUGAAACUGGGCUGCGUGGCGCCCAACCACCCCCGGAGCGCGUCGGGCCCCUUGCAGUGCGGAGCUUGCCGUGCGCCGCGGCACGAACUCGCAGCGGGCGCCUCAGAGGCACCCUGUUUGCGUCCCCGCUACGGUGUUUUGGGAGGAAAAUAAUAACAGCGCGGCUUUCGAGCUACCUUUUGCAGCACGAGGGAACGCCGGCACGCAGGGCCGGGCAGCGCGCACCCGGUGCCGUGCACCACACGGCCGGAUCCUCGCGCAGUGCCCCGGGAUGGGAGCGGCGGGAGCAAAGCCCUGCAGGUGGGGGAGCCCCGCACGCACCGCGGCGCCCCACGCCGUGCUGGGGCCGUUGGGGUGCUCCCAGAGCUGGGCAAACACCCUGGGCAAACGUCCCCAGGUCCCUUCUGCACGCAAAGGCCACCGAGGGAGGGGGUCCCCAGCAGAGGGGUGCAACGGCCACUGAAUGCUCACCCACCCCAGACCCCCGCACGGGACCAGGACAUCGCUCGGCGCAUCGCCCCGCUAACCCCGGAGCAGCAGGACCAACGCCAGCCUCGACGGACAAGCAGUGGGGAGCGGAGGGACACGGAGCACGCCGCGACCCCGCGAUUUACGCCGGGGGCUGCACCUCGCCCCUCCCGAGACGGAGCCCGCAGAACCACCCCAGCCAUUUGGGGGGGCUUCGCAGAGCAUCCCCCAGAGACCCGAGCCCACCCCGGCACCGGCACCCCCCGAGGACCGCGAGCGGGCCGCCCGGCGCAUCCCAACCCCGAAAUUUGCCGCGCUGGGGAGAGGACGGGGGGGGUCUCAGCGCAAGCCGGGGGCCACCCCGCAUCCGGGCGGCCCCACCACAGCCCAGCAUCAGGCAGCCGGCCCCGCGGGGGGGCCCCGCUCCGUCGCCAAGUGACCCCCCUCCGGCCCCGUCCCUCCUGCUCCCCCCAAAACGCUCCCGUCGCGAGCCCGGAAGUAGGAAACAGCCCUCCCCAGCGCUGCCCUGUUUACCAAGAGCUGGUUCCAAGCACUCGGGAGAAUAGCAGGAGCAUUUCAAGGCCCUGUUUCCACUCGGCUGACACACACUAUUUAUAGAAGCCCACAAUUCUCCCAGAGCUUUCCUCGGGAUCUCAGCAGAAAUAGCCUGCCCCGGGUCUCUGCUGCCUCCUCUAAGGAGGCCAGGGCAGCGCCGGCCCCCCCCCCCCCAGGCUCCCUAUAACCUUCCACGGGCUUCCAUCGCUUCUCCCCCGCCGGCCGCCCGCUCCCCGCGCGUCCUUGGCUCCCCCGGCCCCGCCGCGGUGCCAGCCCCUCGCCUCUCCCCCCCCCGGCCGCCUCCGGCUCCUCCCGGCCCGGUGCCGGCGGGCGCGCGGCGGCUUCGGUGGCGGAGGGAAGGAGCCGGGCUCCGGUUCGGUACGGGGAGCUGCUGGUGGUGGCGGUGGUGGUGGUGGUGGUGGGGG